GAGUCAAAUCAGGGUACACCCUUUCAUGCCAUUACCCCACUUGCGACCUAUGCAUUGGAUAGGCUCACAUCAUCUAGCAUCCCCUGAUUGAUUGCAUGCCACAUAGCUCUAAAUGAUGGGAUAGCCGGAAUGACUUUUCGCCCCUUUUCGCUUGAUUUUAGUUUUCUCCCAUUAAUAGAGGAGCAGAGAGGGCUCUCGGAGAAUGCACAAAUAGUGAGCCAUCUGGACAUUAGGCUCG
This 238-nucleotide long non-coding RNA is filed under the name Elaeis guineensis (African oil palm). RNAcentral's name for it is "long non-coding RNA (EGUI_LNC014887)". The record is from RNAcentral. Lineage: Eukaryota; Viridiplantae; Streptophyta; Magnoliopsida; Arecales; Arecaceae.